RNAcentral lists this transfer RNA (59 nucleotides) under Heterocephalus glaber (naked mole-rat). It matches the Rfam family "tRNA", at positions 7 to 64 of the family's 71-position model. From Rfam's summary of the family: Transfer RNA (tRNA) molecules are approximately 80 nucleotides in length. Their secondary structure includes four short double-helical elements and three loops (D, anti-codon, and T loops). Further hydrogen bonds mediate the characteristic L-shaped molecular structure. tRNAs have two regions of fundamental functional importance: the anti-codon, which is responsible for specific mRNA codon recognition, and the 3' end, to which the tRNAs corresponding amino acid is attached (by aminoacyl-tRNA synthetases). tRNAs cope with the degeneracy of the genetic code in two manners: having more than one tRNA (with a specific anti-codon) for a particular amino acid; and 'wobble' base-pairing, i.e. permitting non-standard base-pairing at the 3rd anti-codon position. Lineage: Eukaryota; Metazoa; Chordata; Mammalia; Rodentia; Bathyergidae. The record is from Rfam by way of RNAcentral.
AUAGCUUAGUGGUAGAGUGCUUGCCUAGCACGCAGGAGGCCCUGGGAUUAAUCCCCAGU